RNAcentral lists this long non-coding RNA (826 nucleotides) under Ursus maritimus (polar bear). RNAcentral's name for it is "lncRNA (ENSUMAG00000015330.1)". The record is from RNAcentral. Lineage: Eukaryota; Metazoa; Chordata; Mammalia; Carnivora; Ursidae.
CGCAGAGUCACCUCCUGGUCGCGCGCAGCUUCCCGGGGUUUCCCUGCGGGGAUCGCUUGUCCUGGGUGUUUGGACUCACGUGCGGGCCGGAGGUGGCCAAGAGCUGGAACUCGCUGUGCCAGCCACUUCUCUUCUCCCUAAAUCCCCCCCCCUCCAGGGUUCCCCAGCGCAGUGUUCUGGUUUCGUCAAAUAGCUGAACGUCCUAGGGUCUUCGAGUUGAGGAGUUGGGGAGCGAAGAGCAAGCUGGGAGGAGAAACAAUGAAGAAGAUGAAAAAGAAGGCGGCAGUGUACUGAGGGCAAGGAAGGAAAGUGCAACCCGAAUGAGUAUGCAGGAGAAAUGCCGUCAUGAAGGAGAGGCAAAGCCCUCCAGCGAGAGGGGAACUCCUGGAAAGAAAAAUCCGUUUCUCCAUUGGGAAACCACCAAUGCUUGCAGUGGAUAGCUUGGAAAAUUUGGACCACCUCCCAUCAGAAUUCUGAGUAGUGGAGAGUCACGGAUAGACUUCAGGACCUAGAGCAUGCCUUCACCAGUCCCACUUCCCAAUCUAAGUUUCUGGGAAGUCUGAUGACCCCAAGUUCUUGGCCAGUGAUGAGAAAUUCAUGCUGGAAAGUGAUGGUCACUGAGGAGAUGCAAGAAGCUAAGCCGCUGAAAAGUUCAAGCAGCUGGAAGAGACCUGCCCCAUAUAAGAAGUUUCUCCUUGUCUGCUCAUUAAAAGAAAAAUUAUCUGUGAAAUGGAACCUUAUUGAACUUCAAUACUUUCUGAAAAUGGUAAUCCCUCGGUAUGUAUUAAUUAUUUAAAUUGUAAAUAAAUGAUACAAUCUCAUGGCA